GAUGAACGCUGGCGGCGUGCUUAACACAUGCAAGUCGAACGGACCAGAUUCGUCUGGUUAGUGGCAGACGGGUGCGUAACACGUAGGUGACCUGCCCUCGAGUGGGGAAUAACUCGACUAACGUCGAGCUAAUACCGCAUAAGUUCGCUCUUUCAUUAGGGUGAGUAAAGCAGUAAUGCGCUUGGGGAUGGGCCUGCGGCGGAUUAGGUAGUUGGUGGGGUAACGGCCUACCAAGCCGAUGAUCCGUAGGGGCGUGAGAGCGUGGCCCCCCACAUUGGCACUGAGACACGGGCCAAACUCCUACGGGAGGCAGCAGUGAGGAAUAUUGCACAAUGGGCGGAAGCCUGAUGCAGCAACGCCGCGUGGAGGACGAAGGCCUUCGGGUUGUAAACUCCUUUUCUGAGGGACGAGCAAGGACGGUACCUCAGGAAUAAGUCUCGGCUAACUACGUGCCAGCAGCCGCGGUAAAACGUAGGAGGCGAGCGUUAUCCGGAUUUACUGGGCGUAAAGCGCACGCAGGUGGCUUAGCAAGUCGGACAUGAAAGCUCCUGGCUUAACUGGGAGAGGUGGUUCGAAACUGCUGAGCUUGAGGUUGGGAGAGGGACGUGGAAUUCCCGGUGUAGUGGUGGAAUGCGUAGAUAUCGGGAGGAACACCAGUGGCGCAAGCGGCGUCCUGGCCCACACCUGACGCUGAGGUGCGAAAGCGUGGGUAGCAAACAGGAUUAGAUACCCUGGUAGUCCACGCUGUAAACGAUGACAACUAGGUGUCGGCAGUUUUACACUGGCGGUGCCGAAGCCAACGCGUUAAGUUGACCGCCUGGGGACUACGGCCGCAAGGCUA
This 841-nucleotide ribosomal RNA is filed under the name uncultured bacterium. Its description in RNAcentral is "bacterial SSU rRNA". It matches the Rfam family "Bacterial small subunit ribosomal RNA", at positions 28 to 896 of the family's 1533-position model. The record is from RNAcentral.